AAAAAGAUAAACCCUAGUUUCCGUGUCCAACGUUUGACCGUCCGUCUUAUUUGAAAAAAUUAUAAAAAAAAUUAAAAAGACAAGUCACGCAUAAAAUAUUAAUCAUGUUUUAUCAUCUAACAACAAUAAAAAUACAAAUUAUAAAAAAAUUAUAUAAGACGGACAGUCAAAGUUGGACACGAAAAUUCAGAAUUUGUCUUUUG
This 203-nucleotide microRNA precursor is filed under the name Oryza sativa Japonica Group (Japanese rice). RNAcentral's name for it is "MIR812 microRNA precursor family". It matches the Rfam family "MIR812 microRNA precursor family". Lineage: Eukaryota; Viridiplantae; Streptophyta; Magnoliopsida; Poales; Poaceae. The record is from Rfam by way of RNAcentral.